UCUAUUCUUCCUCGGGUCUUAAGUCACAGCUUUCGUUACAGUUAAAACAACACUAAGCUUUGUGAGCCGACAAGCAGCAUCAAGUGGGCAAAGGCUGCACUGGGGACUGAGGGACAGUCCUGAGGAGGCACAGUAUCAUUGGAGGAGGGGAUUCUGGCCUGCCCGAUAGCCCACAUGCAAACACAGAAGUUAGAUGCCGUCAUGCUUGGUAGAGACGUUAGUCCAUUUCUAGCAUGGACUGCUGACCUUUCGUGUGUUUUGAACAGGUCUCCCUGGCUAGAUGGGCUGUGCAGCCCUUGUCCACUCUCUCUUUCCCACCCCUAGUCGAACUGGAACGGGAGGGAGCUAGAACUCAGAGCUUUGUGGCAGGAACCAAUCUGUCUCUUCAUCCUGGCUCAGCAGCUGCCUGCUUUUAGCCUGUAGCUUUCCCCCAUCUUUUCACUUGUUGAUCUAUUGACAGCCCAGGAGGGGAGGAGAGCAUAGUGGUGAUACCAGCUGAGGAGGUAACUGGAGAUUGAGAAGGAGCAGGAGGCCUAGCUCAAGGUCGUCUAGAGGACAAGCACCAGGCUGAUCAGGGAUUAGCAUAGAUGUGCUGCUAAGCCCACAGAACCUAGCUGUUUUUUUCACAGCUCCUGCUGCUCAGUGGGAUUUUUCCACAUAUCAGAUGAUCAACUCAGCGUCUGAAGGGACGGUGCCUGCCUUUGGGCCGGAAGACUGACCAUCCAGUUUUAUUGAAUUAGAAAAUGUUGCUGUAAAAAUGUCUUUUCCUAAA
Molecule: non-coding RNA, 772 nt
Organism: Rattus norvegicus (Norway rat)
Lineage: Eukaryota; Metazoa; Chordata; Mammalia; Rodentia; Muridae
Source: RefSeq, a predicted model, not a curated record